RNAcentral lists this ribosomal RNA (495 nucleotides) under uncultured bacterium. RNAcentral's name for it is "partial 16S ribosomal RNA". It matches the Rfam family "Bacterial small subunit ribosomal RNA", at positions 30 to 507 of the family's 1533-position model. The record is from RNAcentral.
UGAACGCUGGCGGCGUGCCUAAUACAUGCAAGUCGAGCGAACAGACGCGGAGCUUGCUCCUCUGACGUUAGCGGCGGACGGGUGAGUAACACGUGGAUAACCUACCUAUAAGACUGGGAUAACUUCGGGAAACCGGAGCUAAUACCGGAUAAUAUAUUGAACCGCAUGGUUCAAUAGUGAAAGACGGUUUUGCUGUAACUUAUAGAUGGAUCCGCGCCGCAUUCGCUAGUUGGUAAGGUAACGGCUUACCAAGGCGACGAUGCGUAGCCGACCUGAGAGGGUGAUCGGCCACACUGGAACUGAGACACGGUCCAGACUCCGACGGGAGGCAGCAGUAGGAAAUCUUACGCAAUGGGCGAAAGCCUGACGGAGCAACGCCGCGUGAGUGAUGAAGGUCUUCGGAUCGUAAAACUCUGUUAUUAGGGAAGAACAAAUGUGUAAGUAACUAUGCACGUCUUGACGGUACCUAAUCAGAAAGCCACGGCUAACUACGUG